GGAGGUGGAGUCAGCUGCGAGCCGCUGUGUGUUGUGGAGGGGUCGCUGUGGAAGAGGUCAAGUACCCGGCGGAGGGCACCGCUAAAGUCUGGUGGAAGGCUCCUGGUAGCGUGGGCAGGUUGGAGGACUACAGCAGGAUGUUCCUCCCAUAAAAAGCACACAUUGGUUGAAAGGUGUUGCAGUGUGCUGACGCCAGACCCACACUCAGCACUGCCAGUGCUCAGAGGUCCCACUGGCCCCAGACAGCAAUUUUCCACCCCAGCGUGCAGGAAAAUAAAC
Long non-coding RNA from Electrophorus electricus (electric eel), 279 nucleotides. RefSeq lists it as uncharacterized. The record is from RefSeq and is a predicted model, not a curated record. NCBI's taxonomy places the organism in Eukaryota, Metazoa, Chordata, Actinopteri, Gymnotiformes, Gymnotidae.